UUUAAGAGAGAGUUUAGAAGGAAGAAGAAGAGGAAUUUUACUAGAAUUUUGAGGUUGAAGAAGAGAAGGAGAACUCAAGCAAAGUGUAUCCAUGGCUGAAUCUUGGUUCAUUCUGCACAUCACUGGUUUUUAAUUCGUUUUGAACUCUUUAAAAGAAAUUAAGAGAGUGUACUGGUGGAUUUAGGAUCUCUAUUUGGGACAAUUUAAAGAGGUUGUGUGCGCGUGAUUCUUGAAGUUGUUCUGUUUCGAGGGUUAUCUGAGUUUAUUCAUAGGGAAUCAGAUUUACAUGUCUUCAGGUAGAGAUCGAGUUUCCGGUGCCUGAUAAACUGCCUUAGUCUGCUGAAGCUCCGUUAUCGAUUGUCAGUACGUGUUUCGAGUUGGGCAUAGAGUCUGUUGUGUUAUGAUGUAUAUACACCCUUGUAUGUCAUAGAUACUCCACAGUUUGUAUAAGCUUUAGGAGUUGCAGUUGUGUAAAUUUUUGUUGGUUAUAUUUUGAUUAAGGUGUCUUUAGGUUUACUC
Molecule: long non-coding RNA, 519 nt
Organism: Cucumis melo (muskmelon)
Lineage: Eukaryota; Viridiplantae; Streptophyta; Magnoliopsida; Cucurbitales; Cucurbitaceae
Exons: 4
Source: RefSeq, a predicted model, not a curated record